GAUGAACGCUGGCGGCAUGCCUAACACAUGCAAGUCGAACGAGAAUCUGUGGAUAGAGGAUUCGUCCAAUUGAAACAGAGGACAGUGGCGAACGGGUGAGUAAUGCAUGAGCAACCUGCCCUUCAGAGGGGGACAACAGUUGGAAACGACUGCUAAUACCGCAUAACAUAUCCGGGAGGCAUCUCCUGGAUAUCAAAGAUUUAUCGCUGAAGGAUGGGCUCAUGUCUGAUUAGCUAGUUGGUGGGGUAACGGCCCACCAAGGCUGCGAUCAGUAGCCGGUCUGAGAGGAUGAACGGCCACAUUGGGACUGAGAUACGGCCCAG
This 323-nucleotide ribosomal RNA is filed under the name uncultured bacterium. RNAcentral's name for it is "bacterial SSU rRNA". It matches the Rfam family "Bacterial small subunit ribosomal RNA", at positions 28 to 334 of the family's 1533-position model. The record is from RNAcentral.